Molecule: long non-coding RNA, 578 nt
Organism: Arabidopsis thaliana (thale cress)
Lineage: Eukaryota; Viridiplantae; Streptophyta; Magnoliopsida; Brassicales; Brassicaceae
Product: other RNA
Exons: 1
Source: RefSeq
GAACCAGAUUCGCCGGCAAUCUAGCACGUCUAUAAGUAUCGAAAUACGCAAGACUAGCACACAUUCCAGGCGUGCUAAUCCCAGCAGAAACAGCCAAACCAACAACUCUUCUCCAAGCAGCUUGUCUCUGAACCAUCUCUUUAGCAAACUCAGGAUCAACCACAAGACUAGCCAAGUCCGGGUUCCUCUGGUAAGCUUUCUUGAUCCUAUCCAAGAAAACCGCUCUUAUAAUACAACCACCUUUCCAAAUCCUAGCCAAUUCACCAAAAUUCAAGUUCCAACUCUUCUCUAAACUCUUAGCUCUAAGCAAAUUCAUCCCUUGAGCAUAACUACAAAUCUUGGAAGCAUACAAAGCUUGCCUAACAUCAUCAACCAAUCUCUUCUUAUCGAUUCCACUCGACGCAGAACCAAUCUCUUCUUUCAAUCCAGCUUCCCUCAACACUUUCGCUGCAUUCUCCCUCUCAUCUUUCAACCCACUCAAAUACCUACAAUCCAACGAAGCAGCAAUCGUCGGAGCUGCAACAGACAGCUCCGCCGCUUGCUGCACCGUCCAUUUCCCAGUACCUUUCAUACCAGUC